Molecule: ribosomal RNA, 253 nt
Filed under: uncultured bacterium
Lineage: Bacteria
Description: partial 16S ribosomal RNA
Rfam family: Bacterial small subunit ribosomal RNA
Source: RNAcentral
UACGAAGGGGGCUAGCGUUGUUCGGAAUCACUGGGCGUAAAGGGCGCGUAGGCGGUUCGAUAAGUCAGCUGUGAAAACCAUGGGCUUAACUCAUGGCCUGCAGUUGAGACUGUCGGGCUGGAGUGUGGGAGAGGAGAGUGGAAUUCCUGGUGUAGCGGUGAAAUGCGUAGAUAUCAGGAGGAACACCGGUGGCGAAGGCGGCUCUCUGGACCACAACUGACGCUGAGGCGCGAAAGCUAGGGGAGCAAACAGG